GAUGAACGCUGGCGGCGUGCUUAACACAUGCAAGUCGAACGGAAAGGCUCCUGCUUGCAGGGGUACUCGAGUGGCGAACGGGUGAGUAACACGUGGGUGAUCUGCCCUGCACUUCGGGAUAAGCCUGGGAAACUGGGUCUAAUACCGGAUAGGACGAUGGUUUGGAUGCCAUUGUGGAAAGUUUUUCCGGUGUGGGAUGAGCUCGCGGCCUAUCAGCUUGUUGGUGGGGUAAUGGCCUACCAAGGCGUCGACGGGUAGCCGGCCUGAGAGGGUGUACGGCCACAUUGGGACUGAGAUACGGCCCAGACUCCUACGGGAGGCAGCAGUGGGGAAUAUUGCACAAUGGGCGCAAGCCUGAUGCAGCGACGCCGCGUGGGGGAUGACGGCCUUCGGGUUGUAAACUCCUUUCGCUAGGGACGAAGCGCAAGUGACGGUACCUGGAGAAGAAGCACCGGCUAACUACGUG
RNAcentral lists this ribosomal RNA (466 nucleotides) under uncultured bacterium. Its description in RNAcentral is "partial 16S ribosomal RNA". It matches the Rfam family "Bacterial small subunit ribosomal RNA", at positions 28 to 507 of the family's 1533-position model. The record is from RNAcentral.